CUUAUACUCCUUCCGUAUCAAAAUUCUUGUCUUAGAUUUGUCUAGAUAUAAAUCUAUCUAGUCACAUUUUAGCAUUUUGAUACAUUUAUUUCUAGACAAACCUAAGACAAGAAUUUUAGGACGGAGGGAGUAUUUA
This 136-nucleotide microRNA precursor is filed under the name Hordeum vulgare. RNAcentral describes it as "microRNA MIR1122". It matches the Rfam family "MIR1120/MIR1122 microRNA precursor family". The record is from RNAcentral. Lineage: Eukaryota; Viridiplantae; Streptophyta; Magnoliopsida; Poales; Poaceae.